Molecule: non-coding RNA, 5070 nt
Organism: Rattus norvegicus (Norway rat)
Lineage: Eukaryota; Metazoa; Chordata; Mammalia; Rodentia; Muridae
Source: RefSeq, a predicted model, not a curated record
AUACAGUAUCCUGUUUUUGUCCAUCUGAAAGUAUAGAUAAUAAGUUUUUUCUCUUUGUAUGGUCAGUCUUCUUAGUUGUUUAAUGCGUUUUUGUUUUGGGGAUGCUUUCUCUAUUUCACAGCAUUUCGCAAGUCUUGGUGCCAGUUCUUACUUACUAUUGAGGUCCAUGUCUGUGGGUAGAGCUAUGGGGCCAGGAAAUUAUUUUAAGGUGAUUGGCUAAGUCACUUUCUUGGGGAACUAUUUGUGCCUUCCCCCAGAAUCCCGUCCUCCAUUUUUGUGCUUUGCCAGUAAUUACAGCUGCUAAUGUUUCUGUCAGAACACUAGUGAAGGACCUGGGAGUGUUCAUAUGUAACAUGAACAUUUUCUUGAGUCCCUCUGUCUGUUUUCACUCUGGUAGCCUUGAUCACAACUGUUUCCCGAAGUCUGCAGUCACGAAACAGACAAAGUUAUUACAAAACUCUUACAUAGGAGGGGUGACAGGAGCAAGAGGCAUGUGCAGAAUCCUAUGCGGUUUGGUGACUGACCAGACAAAGGAAAUAAGGGCAUGAAGAAAGGACAGACUCACUGGCAUAUGACAGAAUAGCUGGGAAAGGGUGAGGCAGACGUAUGUUGUGACGGAGAAGCACCAGCUGCACAGAUGUCACCUUGCUCAUUACAUAUGGCUGUGUGAGCAGGUGGGUUAUUUUAAGGAUGGUAAGGAGGAAGAGGAAGAGAAGGAGGAGGAAGGUUGUAGAUUGUCUCUGUACAGGUGAGGGCAGGCACAAGAUAAAGCAAGGCCUGUGAUUGGGCAGAGAAAAAGUAAGGCGGGGACAGAGUUUUUGUAAGGCGGGAGAGGAAAAGAAAAAGAAAAAAAAAAAGAGAGAGAAGAACCAAGAUGGAGGCAGAAAAGGACGGUCCAGGUCCGUAUGGCCAUAAGUGACCAGAGGUAGUUAUGAAUAUUUCUUAAGGGAUGGACUUUUAUAGGUCAAUUUGUCUUAUCUAGGUGGGCCAUUUAUAUCAUUAUCAAUUGGUUGUGAGUUUAUUAUGUGGACAUUUGGUGGAUUGAGAAUUUAAGAUAUAAAUCUGAUUGCUAAAUUACAAGGUUAUUGAGUUUUGAUUUUAACGGGUAAACUGGGAGUUGUGACUAUAACCACAGGGGGCGGAUGCUGGGAAUGUGAGCGGUCUGCAGCUGCCGGGCUCAGAGAGCAGCCAGCGGCAGCAGCCAGCAGCGUGGGAUGGAGAGUGGGAGUUUAGUGGUGAGACGCUUUGUUGACUGAGAUGAAAAUACCCGGCAGAAGUCAUGGGGCCCACUGGUACCAGCACUGGAGAUCAACUUUGAGGGACACAAAAGUGAGAAGCAAAAUACAUUCUGUACAAUGAAGAUUCAUCAAUUCAAAUGAGAACUCAGCAUCAGUUACGAAAGAAAAUUCUUAGUUUGCUGCUGUGUUGAAGACAAACAUAUUUGAUAUGGCAGCUGCCAUCCUUCCCAGCAUUCCUCUACAGACACUAAGGGUCUUCAGAGUCAGCAUUUUGCUCUUCAACAAUCAAGAGUGUACUUAAGAUGUGGGACUCUGUUUAAGCUUUUACCUCAAGGUAAGUUUGAAUGGAGAGGUAUACCUCGACCUCCCUAUGUUCUACUGUUGCAGAUAGAUAGUCCCCAUAGACUCAUGUUUAAGUUGGAACCUCAGUUAAGGUGAGAUCACACUGCACUGUAGUGGGUUCUGAUCUGAUGUAGCUGGUGUGCUUAUAAAAUGGUAAAAUUUAGGCACAGACAAGCUCACACGAGAAUGCUCACACGAGAAGAUGACAUAGCAGAUCCCACGCAAGGCCACUGUUCCCAGAAAUCCUAAGACACUAAGAGGAGGUGUGCAGAAGCCUAGUGUCACACCCACAGCCAUGUCAUAUAAAGCCUCUCUGUACUGGCCGGUUUUGUGUGUCACCUUGACACGAGCUAGUCAUCACAGAGAAAAGAACCUCAGUUGAGAAAAUGACUCCACAGAAUCCAGCUAAGGGGCCUUUUCUCAAUUAGUGAUUAAUGUUGGAGGACCCAGCCCAUGGUAGGAAGCCAGGGGAAGCAAGCCAGUAAGCAGCAUACUUCCAUAGCUUCUGCAUAAGCUCCUCCCUCCAGGUUCCAGCCCUGUGUGAGUUCCUAUCCUGACCUCUUCCAGGGAUGGAUUGUGAUCUGGAAGUGUAAGCCCCUUUUUUCCCAACUUGCUUUUUGGUCAUGGUGUUUCCUCACAGCAGUUAAGCCCUAAGACAGCUUCCUUUCUCCUUUUCAUAAUGAACACAUGUAGAACUGGCCCAGCCACAAGGUGGAAUGUGGGAACCUGACUCAUGCAUGGCGGGGAGCCACCUAACAAUUAGGAACACCCGCUUUGGGCUUCUUGUAAGAAACUAAAAGAACUGUUGUUUUCAGCUACAUGGAUGUAAGAGUUUAUCUGCUGCACUGUAUUUUAAUUUCUUGUGUCUGUGUGUAAGUCUGAAUGUGAAGGUCAGAGGUCAGGAGUCACUUGUCUCCUCAGGAUGUCAGGCUUGAUGACCAGCUCCAUACCCAGGGAUCCAUGUCAUCAAUCUUGAAGUAGAUCUUAAAACCCACUUUAUAAUGUGUUGGUGUGAGGGUGGUAAACAUACUUUGAUUCAAGUUUGGAGGAUGGCUUAGAGCAUCAGGUACAGAAUGGGUGGCAUGUAAGCAGAAGUCUGGCUAGAUGUAAGAAAAGCUGAGAGGGAAGGAAUGGCCCACAUGGAGAAAAUUGUGUGCACUUAGGGUCCCAAGCGAAAGUACUGAUGCUGUUUUGGGAGGCGGUGGAAGUUUUUGUGGGUGGAGCUUCGUUGGAGGAAGUGGAAGACUGGAGCAUACCAUGGUAGGUGGGUGGAGGUGUCUUGUGGGUUUCAGCCUCGACUGUUCUGACAGGAGCUCUCAAUGCUUCCAAGGAGAACUGGUACUGCUUAUCUCCUUGACUUCUGCUGCCUCAGUGAAGGGCUUCCCACCAUGCUUUCUCUGCAAGAUUGGCUCUAUUUUCUGAGCAACAAAUGCAUUCUUUCUUCUCUACUUUGCUUCUGACAGAGUGUCUGCCUUAGGGAUGAGAAAAAGUAAUCUUAUUCAAAUUAACUGUUCUGGAAUCUUCAGAGCCCAGAGCCACUAGCAUGAAACUUACAAAUAGACUAGAUUCCUAGGCUCCUGUUAAACUGGUUAAUUAACAAACCUCCUCAAUGUUUGGAAUACAAUUUCAAACUUUGAAAUUAAAUGAGCUUACUGUGGGGGAGUUAAUGUGAUGUGAGCUUCUAGGGGUAGAAGAGCACAGUAAUGAAAUCUGCCUCUUUAGUUGUACACAAAUAUAUUUAUUAGAGAUAUAAAUAAUCAUGUUUUAUAUGUAUAUUUUGUGAAUUAAUGGUAAAGAAAAGCCAUGUCUCACUAAAAACUGUUUUUAGACUGACUGUGGAUACAUGUUUCUCCAAUAUCACUUUUCAAAUAAUUUUUUUUUUUUUGGUUCUUUUUUUCAGAGCUGGGGACCGAACCCAGGGCCUUACGCUUCCUAGGCAAGCGCUCUACCACUGAGCUAAAUCCCCAACCCCUCAAAUAAUUUUCUAGUAAAAUUUUUGUUUGUGUUACAUUUUGAAGAAGCCAAAAUAUUUUAUCCUUUCAAAUUUAAAAAUUUCUGUCAUUUUAGUCAAUAUUACAAUAUUACAUUUAGUCAAAUAACAAUUCUGUUAUUUUAGUCAAUAAAAACUCUUAUUUCAUCCUCACUUUUCUGUGUUUGGACCAGACUACUUGCCAUCUACCUGCUGUCUUGGAGUGGACGUUCAGCGGUUGCGUGUGGCUCUGACUUCCAAGAGGAGACAAGGGACUCAGAAUUCAAGGUCCAGGUUUGAGACUCAGGUUAUGGUGAAUGGAUCCUAGGUUUUCUAGUUGCAUUACAGUAAUAAUAAGUAAUAAACUUAUCUCUCGACUAGACUAAGGAAAGAUAGUAUCUGCAAAAGACUUACAUGAAUAAACUAUGUUAGAUUUCUAAAUAAAAAUCAAUAGGUAAUAGCAUUAAAUUGACAUAAACCAAUUUAAUUUAUGUGAGUAAGCUUACAAUAUAUUUAAAAUAUAAUUUGACGAUAUAUUUUGCCAGCUAAACAAUACAAGUUAGCUUGCAAAGCUGAGUUAGUUCAAGAAAGUUUGUUGCGGCUUUCUCCAAGGGUAUUGGGACUGUGAGGCUCAGGGGAAAACACUUCAUUCGAUCCACUUUCAUCCUUCAUAGAGAGGUACUGACUUCAAGAAGAAUGUAUAAAAAGAUCGGCAAGAGCAUCCAAACAAAUUAAUCAGCUUUUCAUGUCAGCCUUUUGUAUUGGAUGUGCAUGUUUCUUAUGUAAAUGAUAAUGUAACUUGGAACAAUUGAGUCCCUUGCUUUAUUUUCAUGGAGACCAAGAGAGCAGACUCAGUCACACCUGCGGCCUUAAGAGCUCACAUGAACUUUGACCUGUAAGCAAUGUGGAAAUGUUGGAUUUUUACUGGAGUCCAGAGGACUGCUUUUCACCGCUACCAAGGGACCCUGAAUAUUGCACCACACUCAUCUUUCUGAACUGGCCACUGGCUGUCUUUCAACUGCCUGUCUCGGGCACUGUGUGUACUGCUUUGGACUACUAGCCAUACGCUGCCAUUUGGGGCUCAAACUGAGGAAAUGUUUGCAUAGCAUCAUCGUCAAGAAGUUGUGUAUAUUCUGCUAGGAAGUAAAGAUGCUGACCUUAAGCAUUGAGAGAUGGAAGCCAUUCUGAGACAAUGCAGGGAGACUAAGUGCUUGUGGGUUAUUUUUGUUUAUAAAGAGUUUGCAACCAGCCCACGUUGAUCCACAGAGAAGUAGCUCCUAAAAGUCACUUAGCUAUGUAUUGGCUUUAUCUGGGAGCUAUGGCUACCAUUUCGGACUCUAAUAUAAAUAGACAAUAAAUAUUUUUCCUGAAUUCCUUUUCAUUUUGCGCGCGCGCUCUCUGUCUCUCUGUCUCUCUGUCUCUCUGUCUCUCUGUCUCUCUCUCUCUCUCUCUCUCUCUCUCUCUCUCUCUCUCUCUCUCUGUGUGUGUGUGUGUGUGUGUGUGUGUGUGUGUGUGUGUGUG